This 182-nucleotide non-coding RNA is filed under the name Fluviispira multicolorata. Its description in RNAcentral is "6S / SsrS RNA". It matches the Rfam family "6S / SsrS RNA". Rfam says of the family: E. coli 6S RNA was the first non coding RNA to be sequenced, but its function was unknown until recently. It consists of 184 nucleotides that fold into an extended hairpin structure with a large single-stranded internal bulge. The record is from Rfam by way of RNAcentral. Lineage: Bacteria; Pseudomonadati; Bdellovibrionota; Oligoflexia; Silvanigrellales; Silvanigrellaceae.
CUAGCUCUGGGUAGCUCUUGUAUCAAUGUGGUAGAACCUACAAAUAACGUAACAGGAAGCUGAAAAAUUCUUGGUGAGCACGCCCUCCGGCUUGUACGAUCGAGGGAAGCCUAAAAGGAAUUUCAGAGGCAUCCACUUUUAAAGAGUGGGUUUCUCCUAUUUCAUGACUGCCCAGGGUGUUC